GAUGAACGCUGGCGGCGUGCCUAAUACAUGCAAGUCGAGCGAACAGACGAGAAGCUUGCUUCUCUGAUGUUAGCGGCGGACGGGUGAGUAACACGUGGAUAACCUACCUAUAAGACUGGGAUAACUUCGGGAAACCGGAGCUAAUACCGGAUAAUAUUUUGAACCGCAUGGUUCAAUAGUGAAAGACGGUCUUGCUGUCACUUAUAGAUGGAUCCGCGCUGCAUUAGCUAGUUGGUAAGGUAACGGCUUACCAAGGCAACGAUGCAUAGCCGACCUGAGAGGGUGAUCGGCCACACUGGAACUGAGACACGGUCCAGACUCCUACGGGAGGCAGCAGUAGGGAAUCUUCCGCAAUGGGCGAAAGCCUGACGGAGCAACGCCGCGUGAGUGAUGAAGGUCUUCGGAUCGUAAAACUCUGUUAUUAGGGAAGAACAAAUGUGUAAGUAACUGUGCACGUCUUGACGGUACCUAAUCAGAAAGCCACGGCUAACUACGUG
This 497-nucleotide ribosomal RNA is filed under the name uncultured bacterium. RNAcentral describes it as "partial 16S ribosomal RNA". It matches the Rfam family "Bacterial small subunit ribosomal RNA", at positions 28 to 507 of the family's 1533-position model. The record is from RNAcentral.